UACGUAGGGUGCAAGCGUUAAUCGGAAUUACUGGGCGUAAAGCGCACGUAGGCGGAUUGUUAAGUCAGGGGUGAAAUCCUGGAGCUCAACUCCAGAACUGCCUUUGAUACUGGCGAUCUUGAGUCCGGGAGAGGUGAGUGGAACUGCGAGUGUAGAGGUGAAAUUCGUAGAUAUUCGCAAGAACACCAGUGGCGAAGGCGGCUCACUGGCCCGGUACUGACGCUGAGGUGCGAAAGCGUGGGGAGCAAACAGG
This 253-nucleotide ribosomal RNA is filed under the name uncultured bacterium. Its description in RNAcentral is "partial 16S ribosomal RNA". It matches the Rfam family "Bacterial small subunit ribosomal RNA", at positions 524 to 776 of the family's 1533-position model. The record is from RNAcentral.